Molecule: non-coding RNA, 814 nt
Organism: Sus scrofa (pig)
Lineage: Eukaryota; Metazoa; Chordata; Mammalia; Artiodactyla; Suidae
Source: RefSeq, a predicted model, not a curated record
GUUCCAGGACUGCUCUUGGCUGAAGCCUUCAGCUGAACACAGAACGCUGCAUGAAGGUUUCACAUGACAGCUUGUUUCUCCCAGAGUGAAAGAUCCAACAGAGAGUGAAAGAGCCAUCAAGAUGGAGACUGCCAGGGUCUGAUAUACAUCAUCCUGAGAUAAUAAUCAGGUGAGAACCCUGGGAUAUGGUGCUAACACAUUGCUAAGACAGCUCUUGGAUCCUCGAAACAGCAGUGGCCCCCACUGAGAGAACAAGAAAUGUGAGAAAGGAAACAAAAUGAUCCAGGAGGAGUAGUUACACAAGUCAAGAUAAGCCUAGAGAAUUCUGUACCUACCAGAAAUUUGGAAUGAAACCCAGAAGUAUCAGUUAAUUUCUUUGGUGCUGACCUGAAAGGACAUUUAUAAUUGCCUGCAGCUGUCACAUGGAAAAACAGAGAAAGCUGAUCCAUAGUGAGAAGAAACUAAAGGUGAGAUGCAAAGAAAAACAGAUGAUUCGGGAGAGAGAAAAUGAGGUUAUAAUGGCUUUACAAUUCUCAGUAAUCCCCUGUGUGAGAUUCAUCUAUUGCUCCUGACACUGAGUUCUGAUAAGAAACUGUUUUAAUAAAUUCUCCCUUUCUACUUAAACUAGUAUAACAGAUAAAUUGACCUAGCCUACCUUGUGGGAUGUAAUCAAAUUGCAACUUUACGUGUCUCCAAUUGUUCCUUUACAAUUUAUUCAGUGAAAGAAAAUUUUUUUCUUGCCCUUGAAUGAAAUUCUUUCUCUAGUAAACCCCAUAAAUUUUUGUUCUCAUUUAAAAUACAGCAUCUUGCAGUU